CGCGUGCGCACGGCACAGAUCGCCCCAUUCUCCCUUCCUGGACGCAGAUUGCCAGGGCGAUCUGCGGACGCGUCCAGGAAGGGAGAAUGGAAGGGAGGGAGCCCUCAGGACCGAGAAGUCUCCUCCUCCUCCUCCAUCUCCCUUCCCUCCCAAUGGCGGUGGCUUCCCUCGGCGAGCGAGGCCUGGCUUUGUAAUGCGCAGAAGCGCCGCCAGAGCCCCUCCUGCCGCCGCUGCCAGAGCCUGAGGAGACAGGCGAGAGAGAGUGAGACAGAGAGGAAGAGGAGGUCGAAGCCGGGCAUCGAAGCAGCGGCAUCAGCGGCUCAUGGCUCGGCGCCUGAGGAGGCCAGAGGCCGGCGCGGCAGGCGAGGCUUCUCGCUGAGGCCCUUCCUCGCUUCCCCCGCUCGCUCGCCCCCGCCAUGGCGGUGUUAUGGCCUCUUGCUGGAGCGCCAAAGGGUCCCUUGCUUGGAGGUCAGCGCAGCUCCUGCUCCUCGUCGCCGCCGCCUCGUGUCGGGAAAAAAGGAAAAAGAAAACUGAAGCAGUAAAAGAAAGAAUGGAAGCCAUAGCCAUCUCCAGAGAUUAAACAUAAUAAAUUAACAGAUGAAGCACUGAAUAUAAAUACAUCAUUGCACAACUGCUAAGAACAUGGGAGUGCAUGGGAGUGUCACAAAAAAUUCUAGAAAAAGUAUUUCCAAUGAAGCCGGAAUUCUAUCUUCUUGGAUUAACAGAUAGCAUAACAACUUUUACCAAAAAUGACAACAUUUUAUUUACCUACAUAUCAUCGACCCCAAGAAUAACCUUUGCUCGACAAUGGAAAUCGGAAGAAAUACCAGCGAAAGGCCUCUGGUUAGAGAAGCUCGACAAAAUUUUUGAUAUGGACAGAUUAACAUAUUUAUUGAAAGAAAACAGAGGCAAACCAAUAAAAAGUACAGACUGGAAUAAAUACGAAAAAUUUAGAAAACAAGCAAUGGACCAGAAGGAAUGAAAAGGAGAAUCCUGGGAAUCCAAACAAAAUGGAGACCAACAAACAAGAAAAGACAAUAUAAAUAUUUGAAUAUAUCCAUGCAGAGUAGAAAACGGAAGACAAAAACUUUUACUCCUUCCCUCUCUUUUUUUUCUUUCUCUCUUCUUUUCCCUUCUCACUCUCUUUCUUUUUCCCAUAAAUUUUCCCUAUAUCUCUACUUACUAUUAUUCCUUGUUCUCUUCUUUCUCCCUUCCUUUUUUCCCCUGCUUUCCCCUUUUCCCUAUAUAUAUCUUUUAUGUAAAGUGUUUAAAAUCUGAAUAAAAAUUAUUAAAAAAAAGAA
Long non-coding RNA from Anolis carolinensis (green anole), 1301 nucleotides. RefSeq lists it as uncharacterized. The record is from RefSeq and is a predicted model, not a curated record. Lineage: Eukaryota; Metazoa; Chordata; Lepidosauria; Squamata; Anolidae. The transcript has 3 exons.